RNAcentral lists this long non-coding RNA (946 nucleotides) under Ananas comosus (pineapple). RNAcentral describes it as "long non-coding RNA (ACOM_LNC041919)". The record is from RNAcentral. Lineage: Eukaryota; Viridiplantae; Streptophyta; Magnoliopsida; Poales; Bromeliaceae.
UUAAGGAGGGGAGGAUGUAAGGUACCGGACUUCGAAAAUCAUGAGGUUACGGUGUACGUUCGAUUGGAAAGCCAUUUAAAUGGUUCCGGUGAGGCUGCGGUGGAAUGUAGCAUACCGGAUCUUUAAUAUAAAAGUGAAAAUAAAUAAAAAUAGUGUGAGAUACUAUUUUUAUUGGAUUUAGAGAAGUAAAACAUAAGUCAGAAGUGACUUGUGCUGAAAUCGGGAUGAAAACAGAAAAUCUAGAAUUUUCUGUUGGAAACGGGACAGAAAAAUUAACAGAAAAUGCACAGUCUCAGAAAAUUAUGAAAAUUGGAGAAUAAGUCAGAAAUAUUUUUAUGAGGCUAGAUUUAAGGUUUCAUAUUUUUCUGACACCCGUAGAGUGAGAAUAAAAUCCGACAGUCAUCUGAUAAAGAUUACAGUUCGGUACAGCUUUCGGUAACCAAACGGGGUCGAAACUGAAAUAUUAAAAUUUCUUUGGACUCUUUAAGUAAAAUCGAAUAUGACUGUCAAAUUUGACCUCAAACGGAUACUCUGAGAGCUCCGGCGAAAGAUAUCAGAUUUGGAGCUGCCUGAUGUGAAUAGUGUAUGCUACUAUUGAGGGUUGACUAUAAGUAGAAGCUACUAGGCUUCUCCCUCUCCAUCAGCCGACCACCAUCACCACUACCAUACGUUCAUGGUGAAGUGAGAGAAACUCUCCCUUUUCUCUCUCUAAAUAUCUCUCUCNGCGAAAGAUAUCAGAUUUGGAGCUGCCUGAUGUGAAUAGUGUAUGCUACUAUUGAGGGUUGACUAUAAGUAGAAGCUACUAGGCUUCUCCCUCUCCAUCAGCCGACCACCAUCACCACUACCAUACGUUCAUGGUGAAGUGAGAGAAACUCUCCCUUUUCUCUCUCUAAAUAUCUCUCUCAUCUCUCUAUAUUUCUCGCCCAAAUUCGCGACGUUGGUGGAG